GCCGAAGUGGCGGAACUGGUAGACGCGCUAGGUUCAGGGUCUAGUGGGGGAAGCCCCGUGCGAGUUCGAGUCUCGCCUUCGGCACCA
Molecule: transfer RNA, 87 nt
Filed under: Deltaproteobacteria bacterium
Lineage: Bacteria; Pseudomonadati; Myxococcota; Myxococcia
Also listed under: 1 other name
Description: tRNA-Leu
Rfam family: tRNA
About the family: Transfer RNA (tRNA) molecules are approximately 80 nucleotides in length. Their secondary structure includes four short double-helical elements and three loops (D, anti-codon, and T loops).
Source: RNAcentral